RNAcentral lists this ribosomal RNA (872 nucleotides) under Porodaedalea pini. RNAcentral's name for it is "partial large subunit ribosomal RNA". It matches the Rfam family "Eukaryotic large subunit ribosomal RNA", at positions 66 to 915 of the family's 3401-position model. The record is from RNAcentral. Lineage: Eukaryota; Fungi; Basidiomycota; Agaricomycetes; Hymenochaetales; Hymenochaetaceae.
UAACAGGAUUCCCCUAGUAACUGCGAGUGAAGCGGGAAAAGCUCAAAUUUAAAAUCUGGCGGUCUUAUGGCCGUCCGAGUUGUAAUCUGGAGAAGUGUUUUCCGCGUCGGACCGUGUACAAGUCUCCUGGAACGGAGCGUCAUAGAGGGUGAGAAUCCCGUCCAUGACACGGACCGCCGAUGCUUUGUGAUACACUCUCGAAGAGUCGAGUUGUUUGGGAAUGCAGCUCAAAAUGGGUGGUAAAUUCCAUCUAAAGCUAAAUAUUGGCGAGAGACCGAUAGCGAACAAGUACCGUGAGGGAAAGAUGAAAAGCACUUUGGAAAGAGAGUUAAACAGUACGUGAAAUUGUUGAAAGGGAAACGCUUGAAGUCAGUCGCGUCUUUCAGAACUCAGCCUUGCUUCGGCCUGGUGUACUUUCUGUUAGACGGGUCAACGUCAAUUUCGAUCGGCGGAGAAAGGUUGAGGGAAUGUAGCGUUGUUUCGGCGACGUGUUAUAGCCCUCUUCUGUAUACGUCGGCUGGGAUUGAGGACCGCAGCGCGCCUUUAAUGGCCAGGGGUUCGCCCCAUGUACCGCGCUUAGGAUGUUGGCAUAAUGGCUUUAAGCGACCCGUCUUGAAACACGGACCAAGGAGUCUAACAUGCUUGCGAGUAUUCGGGUGGAAAACCCUUGUGCGUAAUGAAAGUAAAAGUUGGGAGCCUCCGCGAGGGGGUGCACCGACGCCCGGCCCUGACGUUCUCUGACGGUGCUGCGGUAGAGCAAGUAUGUUGGGACCCGAAAGAUGGUGAACUAUGCCUGAAUAGGGCGAAGCCAGAGGAAACUCUGGUGGAGGCUCGUAGCGAUUCUGACGUGCAAAUCGAUCGUCAAAUUUGGG